Small nucleolar RNA from Tachyglossus aculeatus (Australian echidna), 138 nucleotides. The record is from RefSeq and is a predicted model, not a curated record. Lineage: Eukaryota; Metazoa; Chordata; Mammalia; Monotremata; Tachyglossidae.
CCCCUCUCAGGAUCGCACCGGGAGAGUUUCCAGUACACUACCAGUUUCGACUUCGGGAGGGAGAGUCAAGCAGAGGCCUACCCAUUCCAUUUCUAGUUUUGGUAGUGGCUAGCGAGUGGAAGGCAAUCUGCUACAAGU